GGGCUCGUUUCGUCACAUAUACUAAAAUUGGAAUGACAGAGAAAAUUAGCACAGCCACUGUGCAAGGAUGACACACAAAUUUGUAAAGCAUUCCAUAUUUUU
Small nuclear RNA from Pteropus vampyrus (large flying fox), 102 nucleotides. Lineage: Eukaryota; Metazoa; Chordata; Mammalia; Chiroptera; Pteropodidae. The record is from Ensembl.